This 448-nucleotide ribosomal RNA is filed under the name uncultured bacterium. RNAcentral describes it as "partial 16S ribosomal RNA". It matches the Rfam family "Bacterial small subunit ribosomal RNA", at positions 328 to 792 of the family's 1533-position model. The record is from RNAcentral.
GUGCCAGACUCCUACGGGAGGCAGCAGUGGGGGAUAUUGCACAAUGGGGGGAACCCUGAUGCAGCGACGCCGCGUGGGUGAAGGAGCGUUUCGGCGCGUAAAGCCCUAUCGGCAGGGAAGAAGGAGGACGGUACCUGACUAAGAAGCCCCGGCUAACUACGUGCCAGCAGCCGCGGUAAUACGUAGGGGGCAAGCGUUAUCCGGAUUUACUGGGUGUAAAGGGGGCGGAGGCGGCAGCGCAAGCCAGGAGUGAAAGCCCGGGGCCCAACCCCGGGACUGCUCUUGGAACUGUGCGGCUAGAGUACUGGAGGGGCAGGCGGAAUUCCUAGUGUAGCGGUGAAAUGCGUAGAUAUUAGGAGGAACACCAGUGGCGAAGGCGGCCUGCUGGACAGUAACUGACGUUGAGGCUCGAAAGCGUGGGGAGCAAACAGGAUUAGAUACCCCAGUA